This 58-nucleotide transfer RNA is filed under the name Gnathostoma binucleatum. RNAcentral's name for it is "tRNA-Cys". Lineage: Eukaryota; Metazoa; Nematoda; Chromadorea; Rhabditida; Gnathostomatidae. The record is from RNAcentral.
AGGGAUUUUAUUAUAAUUUAAGUAUUAUUAAUUGCAGAUUAAUAGGUUUUAGUCCUUA